This 1255-nucleotide long non-coding RNA is filed under the name Homo sapiens (human). RNAcentral describes it as "HSALNT0347160". Lineage: Eukaryota; Metazoa; Chordata; Mammalia; Primates; Hominidae. The record is from RNAcentral.
CCCCGCCCCGCCCCGCGCCUGCCUUGCCCGGUCCGCCCUGUCUUCCAGCAGGGCGGGGCCCGGCUCCGGUUGUUCCGCCACGUUUGAGCGGGCGAGCCCGGCGGCCGGGAGACGCCAGGGAACGGGGCUGGUGGGGGUACAAAGGCUCGGUUCCGUCGCCUUCAGCCCUGCGGUGGGGGCACGGGGCAAGUGAGGGGACGGCAGAGGCGGCGUUCGGUGUGAGGCUGCGCCCUGGGCUCCUGAAAAUCCAGGGCUGCAGUCAUUUGAAGGCUUGACUGGGGCUGGAGGAUUUUCAUCCAAGAUGGCUCACUCACCCAGCUGUUGGCAGGAGACCUCGGUUCUUUGACUUCUCCGUAAGACUGUGGACUGGGGACUAAAGGCAAUAGCUUGACUUCUGAAAAGGGCUGGACUGAAGGUCAGCCACAUGGGCAGUGUGAAGGAUCCCCAGCAAAACUCUGGACAUCAGUGGCUGGGCAAGCUUCUCUGGUUGGCGGUACUCUGCAUAUUGUCACACAUCAACUCUGGGAGAAGAUCAUACUGUUCAUGUCUCCACAAGGGGAGGACAGCUGGAAACUCAGUGUCUGGACCUCUUUCCUUGGCUGAUUUUAUUGUGUAUCCUUUCAUUACAAUAAGCUGUAGCCCUGAAUAUAACAGCUUUCAGUGGGCUCUGAGAGUCAUUUUAGUGAGUUAUCAAAACUAAGGGCAGUUUGGGAAUCCCCCUUACUCGUACUUGGUAUCAGAAGCAAGGAUGGCAACCUGUGGGGACUGGUCCCCCUAACCUACAUAGUUGGCCUCAACUCCUGCCAACUCUGUCUCUCUCUCAAACUAAACCCUAGAGUACCUUGUAAUUACUUACCCUUCUUUGAAGAAAGUUAUAUGCCUGAUUUCGUCCUUUUCUCAUUUCUCAUUUACACUUCAGCUAAUUGUGAUUAGACUUGUUCUCACUGUUCCACUCUAAAUGCUCUGACAGAGAUCAUGAAUAAUUGCCUGUUUGCAGCUCAGUCAUCUAUUUGGUAAUUAAACACAUUUUUAUUUAGUGUCACCACAAGUCAGGUAUAAUGUUGGGCCAUGAGAGUUCAGUGAUUACCAAAAUAAAAGCAUUCCUUGCCCUCACAGCACUUAUAGUCCAGUAGGGGGUUCAGGCAAGCCCUCAGAAAACAGCAUGCUAAGGUCUAUGUUAUGGGAAAUAGGGGAGCUAUGGCAGACUUCCUUGGGGCUGGGGGGGGUGGGUGGUCCCAGCCCCCUCUCCUUAGCA